This 164-nucleotide microRNA precursor is filed under the name Oryza sativa Indica Group (long-grained rice). RNAcentral's name for it is "MIR812 microRNA precursor family". It matches the Rfam family "MIR812 microRNA precursor family", at positions 27 to 189 of the family's 205-position model. The record is from Rfam by way of RNAcentral. Lineage: Eukaryota; Viridiplantae; Streptophyta; Magnoliopsida; Poales; Poaceae.
UCCAACUUUGACUGUCCGUCUUAUAUGAAAUUUUUUUAUAAUUCGUAUUUUUAUUAUUGUUAGAUGAUAAAACAUGAUUAAUAUUUUAUGUGUGACUUGUUUUUUUAUUUUUUUUCAUAAUUUUCUUAAAUAAGACGGACGGUCAAACGUUGGAUACGGAAACC